GCUGCUUUAAGGAUGCCAAGCCCAGGCAGUAUGCCAGGUGCUGAUUGUUCAGAGCUCUUAGCACCAGCUGGCUCCUUAUUAGGGCUGCAUUUAGUGCCAGCUACAAAGUGUAUAGAAGUGCUGUAGAGGAUGCAGCCGUGCCAUGGUUGAUGGCAGCAUGAGAGCGAAAAUGUGCUGGUGUGCAGGGGCACUGCAGUUCAAAUACAAUGAAGAGGGAAAGGACUACUGGCAGAGAAUCACAAUUGAGACCCCAGUCCUCUAGGGGCCUGCCAGAUGCCUGCCUUUGUUUUCAGUGAUCUAUUCAGACAGUAUGAAGUGAAGAGCAUGUGAAAAUCCCAGGGGUUUGAGUCAGGCGAGCCUUCUGAAAGGACCCGAAGUGAUGUAUUAUGCCUUUUUCUGUCUGGAAAAGGAUAGGUCUACUCUCCUUGCCCUCAAGGUAGGACAAAACUCAUUGGGAGCAUACAGGUACACUUCAGCUUAAAUCAUUGUUCCCUGAUGGACCCCAAACUGGGAGAAUAUAUAGUUACCACAGCGGCUUUGACUGAUGUCUCUUCUUCAGCCCAUCUCCUCACUGGGAAACCCGUAUUUGCUUCCUUUCUUGAUGCAGAGAUAAAAAAGGAAAAAGAAAUGCUGGCCCAGAAGCAGAGCCAAGUGAGGGUCUUGGCGUAGAAAAUGGCCUCAUACCACUGCCAGAAGGAGGGAAUGCUGGAAAGAAGAUCCCUGGCAAGGGUCUGCCUUCACUUUGCGCCAUGUAAGCAGCCCAAUGUGAGACUGAAGAUGAACAGACCUUGUCUCAUACUGUUUGGACAUCACGGUCAUGUAGAAAGCCUCUGCUUUAAUUUUGUCUAUGCCAAUGAAAUGAAAUGUGCUAACUUGUAUUCUCAAGUAUCAAGCCAUUUUGCAGAACUCGAAAAUAAACUUAAGUAUUAUUUAUACCCACUGUAUCUGCGUAAACAAGAUUCAAAUAUAUGUUCUCUUCUUCACAGAUAUAGACAAAAAAUUUAGUGCUGCUUUUUGAUGACAAUAAAAAUUAUUUGCCUCUCCAACUAUAAACUUUGGAGGAAUGCAGUUUUUCCAGUAUCGCCUGAUUUUCAUUGUGCUGUUGCAGCUUAGAAACUACUUUUCCUGAGAUGCUUCUUUUACUAAAACCUGUGAGUUCAUAAUAAGGCAAAUAUAUAUAUGUGUACAUGUAUGUAUAUAUAGUCCUAAUAAAUGCACUAAAUAUUUAUUUUCAAUUAAUUAUCUGUCAGAGUGGGAAAAGUUUUGUGAUUUGUCUCUAUUUGUGCCUAAGCCCUUGGAUUUGUCUGUAUUUGGGGAAGAGAUCAUUAAUGGUUGUUCAGAGCACAGAGCAGCCCUUUUGCUUUGUUGUAUUGUUUCUGAAUGCUCUGCUUGCUACAAGUGAAAACAGAAAAAUAGUAAGAACCAGAAAUGAAUGUGGAAAAAUCUUUGAACAUAAAACUAACACUAAUUUAAUGCUCUAAAUUGUUAAAAAUAAGACACAUGUAAAUAAUUUGUUUGUGUUUGUUAAAAGAAGUUCUGUUUAAUGUUAAUUUAGUGAAAUUCAGCUGUUGCAUAAACUUCUAGGAAUUAUUUGAAGAUUCUUAGGAAGAUUAAUUGGUCUUUUUUUGGACUGGUACUUGCUAGCUACUUUUUGAAAUAAAGUAGAAGAGAAUGAGAAUACAUUAAAAAAAUGAAUCCCCAGCAGACAAAAGAGAACACAAAAUAUAAUGCAUAAAUUCUGGCUGAUAUGGAUAAAUUUUUUUUAAUUCCAUACAGCUGUGCUGAACUCAAAGCAGCGGAGGUCGUGAGUACCUUUGUGCAUAGCUCCAAGCCCACACCAAUGUAACUCUGUUGUUACAGAACUGUCAGCCAUUGAGGACCCCAGCUUAUGGAUGGGAGUGUGCUUGAGCCCACUUUCAGCAAAGGGAGAGUUGCUGAUUAAAUUAGAAGUCACUGGGGGCUGCCUCAUUUACUCUGCAAAGUGCAAAUGAUUGACACAGUAGCAAAUAGCAAACAUGUACUUAAUAUAUACGAGAAACAUAGGUGUGUGUAUGUGUGGGGAGAUGUAUAUUUAUAUGUAUCCACGUAAGUAUAUGUAUAUAAACUCAGAAUAUGUAGUUUUGCAUAAUCCCGUGGUCCCCCUGCACAGCACUGUAUAGAUACAACACCUUCACUCUCUGUGGACAACCCAACUCCAAAUGUGACAUGCUUUAGUCUAAAAAUGGGACUGUCCUGAUCCCAAAGAGCAGUCCGUUUCAGCAGAUAUCCUCAGCAAGCUCUGCUGUGCAGAGGGCACCAACAGGAGCACAGGGGGUAGGAGGAGGGGCAGGUGGGCUCUUUGCAAUCAAGCCCAGUACUCUGCUGUUCUCACCCCUAUGCUGCCCAUCUGUUGAUGCAGUGAAAAUUCCAAAUUGUUUAUUGCAGCGUAAGUAACCAUUACAGUAUUGCUCUCAAAAUAAUAGAGAAAUUUUUGCAAUUAUAAUAAAUUUACAUCUAAAUGAUACACUGGGCUAAGAAAAUAAAUUUGCUGCAAAGCAAGAAGGUGAAGGUUCAUCUCCUAAAUGCUGGGCUGUCCCUGGCUGCAGGGCUAUCAUGUGUCUUCAGCCAUUAUUCCUUUGGUAUCUGUCUGAUUACACCAGUCAGCAUGCAAACAAAAAAUGUGCAUUUUUCUUGUGCCUGUGUUGCAUUUAUUAUGCUGUUUUAAUGAGCAGUAAAUAUUCCUGUUUCAAGAGUAAAUUCUACUUAAGACUUAAAAUAAGGUGCCCGCACUUUUUCUAUUAACAAACUUGAAAAUUAAUUAAGCAUAAGUGGGAGGCAGACACUGAGGUAAGGCAGAUCACUAACUUAUGAUCAAACCAUGUCUAUUACCAGUGAGAAUUCAGCCCAUCCCUUUCUGGCAAAAAGUUUACUUUUGAGAGUGAAGCAAACUGAACAAAUAAAUCAAUCAAUAAAUCACCUUCCCUUGCACUUCGAACAUUUCAACUCAAUGUGACUUAAUUUGCAGUAUAAACUGUGCUGUCAUAUUUUACAAAGCUACUUUUUGACAGAGAGUUAGGCUUCCUAAUGUAAAGUCCGGUUUUCUUCUUGUGAAAAAUACACCAUCAGCAAAACUAAAGAAUCUGUGGGGAAGGGAUUGCUUGAUAAAGGACAGACUAACACUGCUGAAAAAAGAAAGAGAGAAUGCAGUGGUGUGAACAGUGCAAAAAUUCUCCAAAACAUUCACCUCGUCCUCCCUUGUGCUGGGGCUGGCAAGGUGAGGAAUGCCCUCCUCCUGCUCUAACCAGCAAGUGGGACAUGGAGCUGGAAGUUUAACGCUGAGCUGCAUCAUGGUGUGCAAGUUAAUGGAAUGACAUUGGCUUAAGAGCAAAAUCUGCUGCUAUUCACACCAAAAGAAUAUUGAAAUGAAUGAGAAGAGGUGAUUAAUUUUGCCAAUAUUUGUAAUAGGAAACAUUUUAUUUGGUUUUAAAGAAACUUAAAGAAUUUCAAGUGGGCUUAUGCAAUCAGAAUCUCCACAAAUAAUACAAAGUUUGUGAACAAAUGCUUUGCAUUGAAGUGUGGCUUCUGAACACAACAUGCUAUGUAGAAAAUUACAUCUUGCACUCCAUGGAGCUGCAGCAGUUUAUCACAGAAACUUCCUGACUUUACAACUACCUGAGGUGCAAUGCAGACACAUUAGACUAACUUCAUUUCAACAGCAUGAUUUUAUCCUUAUUAGCACUUUAGAAGAUAAAGGAGCUAUAAAUUAUUCUGAU
Lagopus muta (rock ptarmigan) is the source of this 3752-nucleotide long non-coding RNA. RefSeq lists it as uncharacterized. The record is from RefSeq and is a predicted model, not a curated record. NCBI's taxonomy places the organism in Eukaryota, Metazoa, Chordata, Aves, Galliformes, Phasianidae. The transcript is spliced from 4 exons.